GAUGCUACAAAUCGACAAUCUUACAAAUGGAGUGUCGGUGUCUGUGAGGGCCACCGAAAACUCAUUCUACGGUCCAUGAAGAAACCUGAGCUCGCAAUGCAAUACAGUGAUGCACAAAAGCCUAUCGAAUUCAGCCGAUUCGAAUGCUCGGGCGAGGCAGAAGAAUACCAGAUCAUCAGAAACUCAAACAAAUCAGAAGCUCAAGGAGUGAUGGAUCGAGAUGGGGUGUUCUCCUGUGAAGGUCUAUCCUUGUCGCUGCCCCUGUACUUGUCCUCUGAGGCACUCUCAGACUGUCGAGACGUGUCGUCGCCGUUGUCGUUGAAGAAAGGGUGCACAUCCUCCAGUAAGAGUAGCACAUUGUUCAUCUUGGGGCGUCGCUCAGGCACGGGGUCCACACACUGCAUGGCGAUCUGGAGCAUGGACACCAUCUCUUCUUCGAUGUUCUGGUAACG
Molecule: long non-coding RNA, 452 nt
Filed under: Physcomitrium patens
Lineage: Eukaryota; Viridiplantae; Streptophyta; Bryopsida; Funariales; Funariaceae
Description: long non-coding RNA (PPAT_LNC011406)
Source: RNAcentral